Triticum aestivum (bread wheat) is the source of this 125-nucleotide non-coding RNA. The record is from Rfam. NCBI's taxonomy places the organism in Eukaryota, Viridiplantae, Streptophyta, Magnoliopsida, Poales, Poaceae.
UACGUACUCCCUCCGUCCCAAAAUAUUUGUCGAAAAAAUGAAUAAAAUUGGAUGUAUCUAUAACUAAAAUACGGCUAAAUUCAUCCAUUUUCCCGACAAGUAUCUCGGGACGGAGGGAGUACGUA